AUACGGAGGAUCCGAGCGUUAUCCGGAUUUAUUGGGUUUAAAGGGUGCGCAGGCGGCCAUUUAAGUCAGCGGUUAAAUCGUGGGGCUCAACCCCAUUCUGCCGUUGAUACUGGGUGGCUUGAUUGCGGUCGAGGUUGGCGGAAUUCGUUGUGUAGCGGUGAAAUGCAUAGAUAUGACGAAGAACACCGAUUGCGUAGGCAGCUGACCAGACCGCAAAUGACGCUCAUGCACGAAAGUGCGGGGAUCGAACAGGAUUAGAUAUCGAUAUAGUCAGCACAAUAAACGAUGAAUACUUGUUUUCGGCGAUAUAAUGUCGGAGGCAAAGCGAAAGCGAUAAGUAUUCCACCUUGGGAGUACGCCGGCAACGGUGAAACUCAAAUGAAUUGACGGGG
Molecule: ribosomal RNA, 392 nt
Filed under: uncultured bacterium
Lineage: Bacteria
Description: partial 16S ribosomal RNA
Rfam family: Bacterial small subunit ribosomal RNA
Source: RNAcentral